Molecule: ribosomal RNA, 484 nt
Filed under: uncultured bacterium
Lineage: Bacteria
Description: partial 16S ribosomal RNA
Rfam family: Bacterial small subunit ribosomal RNA
Source: RNAcentral
AUUGAACGCUGGCGGCAGGCCUAACACAUGCAAGUCGAGCGGAUGAAGGGAGCUUGCUCCUGGAUUCAGCGGCGGACGGGUGAGUAAUGCCUAGGAAUCUGCCUGGUAGUGGGGGACAACGUCCGGAAACGGGCGCUAAUACCGCAUACGUCCUGAGGGAGAAAGUGGGGGAUCUUCGGACCUCACGCUAUCAGAUGAGCCUAGGUCGGAUUAGCUAGUUGGUGGGGUAAAGGCCUACCAAGGCGACGAUCCGUAACUGGUCUGAGAGGAUGAUCAGUCACACUGGAACUGAGACACGGUCCAGACUCCUACGGGAGGCAGCAGUGGGGAAUAUUGGACAAUGGGCGAAGGCCUGAUCCAGCCAUGCCGCGUGUGUGAAGAAGGUCUUCGGAUUGUAAAGCACUUUAAGUUGGGAGGAAGGGCAGUAAGUUAAUACCUUGCUGUUUUGACGUUACCAACAGAAUAAGCACCGGCUAACUUCGUG